GUGCAAGGCGGUUGUCAUUCGCGUAGGCUUCGAUUGUUUGCUUUUUCUGUCUCCUAACGAUUUAUUUUGGAUCCUAACGAGCCAAAUACUUGCUAAAACUUUUAAUUAAUUUUUGCGUCCAGUAUUAUUGUAGUUGACGCUGUCGGUGCUUUCUGUUCGUUCAUAAUUCGGUAGUGGUGCGAAUAGUUUUUAUUAAUUUUAUUUUCGCGUAGAAUAAAAUAUUAAUAAAAAUAAAACAGUUGUUGUAAAUAUUGUAGCGGUGUGUUUUCGUUGUGAAUGGGGUUGCCAAUGCUAAUUGUGGAAGUAGUUUCGAUGACAAGGAACGCUGGAAGGUGGGACUAUGCUAUUCUUCAGUGCCUUAGCCCUCGGGGUGGUGACUGGCCUGCAGAAUGUGUCGGAGCCGACGGCCAGUGACGUCACGGAGGCAGUGAGCACCACCGACAUGGGGCUGGUGGCGCCGACCAAGUUGUCGGACUCUCCUAUACUGGACCAUGUCAAUGUGACUAUACAGGACCCUUCAAUGGCUUCUAUGUGGGAUAUGUAUUUGAACCACUGUCCGCGGUGGCGGCCGAUUAACCACAUAUUUUUCCAAGUGGCCAAUGUGUGUUUCCUGCUGUCGUUCCUGGCUCCUCACACGCAGACUGGGAUCUUGUGGCUGCGAGUAGCCCUGAUCCUCGGCUGUGCCUUCUUCGGGCUAUGGGCGUGGAGUAUUGAGUGCUACUUGGAUGCUGUGUUGUGGAACAGUGCAUUUAUUGUGAUAAACUUUGUGUACUUUGCCAUACAGUUCUACCUGCUACGGCCAAUCAAGUUUCAUAAGGAUAUUGAAGAGGUGUACAUAGCCCUGUUCAAGCCGCUGAGGGUUUCCCGGAGACAGUUCCGGCGCGUGCUCAUAUGCAUGCGCAACGUGCGACACCUCAAGUGUCACGAGCUGUACGCACACGAGAAGGUCACCAAAGUUGACAGCCUGUCCCUGGUGCUGUCUGGCAAGCUGGUGGUGUCACAGAACCAGCGCGCGCUGCAUAUAGUGUUCCCUCACCACUUCCUCGACUCGCCGGAGUGGUUCGGGGUAUCCACUGACGAGUACUUCCAGGUGUCAAUAAUGGCGAUGGAAGAGUCUCGAGUGCUGGUGUGGCACCGUGACAAGCUGAAACUUUCCAUCAUGUCUGAUGCGUUCCUGCAAGCCGUAUUCGACCACAUACUUGGCAGGGACGUGGUACAUAAGCUCAUGCAGGUGAGCGAGACAAUGGGCGUCAGCAACGGCCACCUGCCCAACAGCUUCGAAGAAGGGGAAGACAAACCCAUGUUGGUGGUCAAGAAGGCUGGGGACGGGCCCGGCAUCACGGCGCUGCUCAACCGGCAGCUGCAAGAUCGACAGUUGGAAAGCAUCGGAUCCAAACGCGUGGCGUCUCGGGCGGAUAGAGGAAACGGACCACGAGACGCCCGUGUGAGGACGCGCGCUGCAUGUGGCGGUGCGGCCGCGGCGGUUGAGACGCAGCAAACGCUAGCGUGCACGGACCCUUACCUCGCUCCACAUGCAGACGACGAAAUUUUAACACUUCGCUCGGUGUGAAGUGACAUUUAUGACGUUAUAAUCAUAAAGUGAUAUGUGUAAUACUCGGUGUUAAUAUAAAGUUUAAAAUGGCGGGCUAUGUUACAGUUGUUAACGUGAGAAAAGAAAUAUAAAAUGUUGAUUCAGUGUCGAUUUGUUUAAAGCGAAUGUAUGAGAAAGAAAUAACUAAAUGCUAUAUUAUUUUUAAUGGGUCGAUGCGUGAUUAAAUGUUAAACAAGGAACUUUCCAGGCUAUAUUUCACAAAAACAAUAUAGAUGGCUCUGUACAGAUGUUCCUUCGUUUAACCUUCAUAUUUCAUGCAUAACAGACAUAGUAUGCAUCUUUUAUCUUUGUUUUUGGGUAUAAAUGAUGACUUUUUUUAUUACACCCAGGCACAAUAACAUUUUCCACCCAUUAUUAUUCUGAUCAAAAUAAAGUGAAGCAAUAUAGGUAGCAACAUAAUUCUAUACGUAUCUGAUCCAAAUAUAAGCAACAAUUAUUUUUAUAUAUGCCUCUGCUAUGCUAUUACAUCAUAUUUUUGAAUAAUUAGUAUAUACACCGAGCAAUGAGAUACACCGGAGGGGGUAUGGAGCAUACUCCACCACGCUGCUCCACUGCGGGUUGGUAGAGGUGUUAUUCCGGCUAAUAGCCGGGACCAACGGCUUAACGUGCCCUCCGAAGCACGGAAUCAUCUUACUUUUUUGGAUAAUCAGGUGAUUCAAGCCUGAAAAGUACCUUACUUACCAAACAAAGGACAGUCUCACAUAGUGAUUUCGACAAUGUCCCCAUCGGGAAUCGAACCCGGACCUGCAGAUCGUGAGCCUAACGCGAUUUUUUAGAAGAGACUAAAAAGAAGAAUAUUUCCUUCUUUAAACUGAUCGCUACUGAAUCGAUACGAGGUUAAAGUGAUUUAUUGUGAUGUAGUAAUGUUUCGUUUGGCAAGGAAUUGAGAUUGUACCGCGAAAUAAAUCUGGUUGUCGUUUAACAUAUCCAAGUGGAAUAAGGGACAUUCCAAGCUACAUUCCACUAAAACAAUAUAGAUGGCGCUGUACAGAUUUUCCUUCGUUUAACCUUCUACAUACAUACAUAAACUCACGCCCGUAAUCCCUAAUGGGGUGGGCAGAGCCACAAGUAAUCAAAGACGACUUGCAGCCACUGUUGAUACGAAGUCCAAAGAUGGAUAUGAUGAACCUUAUGGUGAUAAGGGAUCAGCCUAUCGCCCAUAACAUUAGUCCAUCAUGUUAGAGGACACAAUCCCUCUGUCGGUUUUUACGACAUGCCCGGGAAGAGAAGCAGCUGAACGUGUUCUGUGUUGUAACCUUCUAAUUUCAUGGAUAACAGACAUAUCCAUCUUUUAUCUUUGUUUUUGGUUGAUGACCCUUGUUAUUACACCCAAGCACAACACAUCAUCCACCCAUUAUUAUUCUGAUCAAAAUAAAGUGAAGCAAUAUAGAUAGCAACAUAAAUUCUAUACAGAAUGUGUUACAAAUAUGAAGCAACAAUUAUUUUUAUUUAUUAUGCUUCUACCAUUACAUUGUAUUUUGGAAUAAUUAUGUACUAGGUACGGUCACG
RNAcentral lists this unclassified non-coding RNA (3121 nucleotides) under Pectinophora gossypiella (pink bollworm). RNAcentral's name for it is "blood vessel epicardial substance-like". The record is from RNAcentral. Lineage: Eukaryota; Metazoa; Arthropoda; Insecta; Lepidoptera; Gelechiidae.